GAAGAACUGAGAAACAAACUCUGCUGUGCUCUUGGAAGGCGAGAAUGCAGAGACUGGGGCUGUGGCUGAUACAUCACAUGGGGAUAGGAUCAUAAAUUUCUGUUGUAUCUGGAUGGAGAUGAGCAGCAGGAUCUGUGGACUGCUGUGUUUGCACCUGCCAUCUGAUGCAGAAAUGACCUAAAGACAGACUGAAACAAUGUGUUCUACAGCCUGAAAAUAUCUGCCUUGACUUAGUUUCAUAAUGCUGGUGUGAUCACACUGGGCAAAAAUUAGCGUACAUUAUUAACUAAUCUAAUUCAAGUACCAAUUCUUCGUAAAAACAUAAAACAAUAAAAGCAAUUUAG
RNAcentral lists this long non-coding RNA (344 nucleotides) under Aotus nancymaae (Ma's night monkey). RNAcentral's name for it is "lncRNA (ENSANAG00000038587.1)". The record is from RNAcentral. Lineage: Eukaryota; Metazoa; Chordata; Mammalia; Primates; Aotidae.